This 718-nucleotide non-coding RNA is filed under the name Anindobothrium lisae. Lineage: Eukaryota; Metazoa; Platyhelminthes; Cestoda; Phyllobothriidea; Phyllobothriidae. The record is from RNAcentral.
GUUUGUUUAACUAUGGCAAUGGAAAGCGUUCAAUGGUCGAAUUGCAUAAAAUUAUUAUAUAUUAGCAUUUAAUGAUAUCGCUUAUGUUUGAUUAGCAGUUAGUAUUUUGUUUGAAUUAGGGUUCUUUUAAGGGAUCAUUGUUCGAUGGGGAUAGGACACAGUGCCAGCAUCCGCGGUUAAUCUGUUUUCUUUGCUUUCGUUAGGUCACUUUUUGAAUAAAUAGGUUUUAGGUUGGGUGAAAUUUUCUUGAGUUAGUAAAUUUUAUUCAAGUCUUUUUAAGCAGUAUUAAAUGACAGGGAUUAGAUACCCCAUUAAUUUACUGUUUAAGAUUUGGGCCUAGUUUUAUAACUAAAAUAGUUUGGCAGCGAGUUACUCCUGUUGGGGGAAGGUGCGUAGUAAAGGACGUUCCGCCAAUUAAUUUACCUGGUUUAUGUUGGUGUAUAUCUGGUUUGAUAUUAUUGCUUAGUAGCUUUAAUUUGUGUAGUUAAAUUUAAGCCAAGUCUAUGUGCUGCAUGAUUAGGUUUUCGUGCGUUACUAUUAUAAAGUUGUGUAUUGUAACAUAUAUUUCAUAUUUAGGACUCAAAAGUAAUACAGUUUAGUGUGUCUGUGUGAAAUGGGUUUAACUCGGGUACACACCGCCCGUCAUCCUCGAUUAUUGUUGAGGCAAGUCGUAACAUGGUAACCCCAGAUGAAUCUGGGGUUAAUUGCCUUUGGUUAU